This 497-nucleotide ribosomal RNA is filed under the name uncultured bacterium. RNAcentral describes it as "partial 16S ribosomal RNA". It matches the Rfam family "Bacterial small subunit ribosomal RNA", at positions 28 to 507 of the family's 1533-position model. The record is from RNAcentral.
GACGAACGCUGGCGGCGUGCCUAAUACAUGCAAGUUGAGCGAUGAAGAUUGGUGCUUGCACCAAUUUGAAGAGCAGCGAACGGGUGAGUAACGCGUGGGGAAUCUGCCUUUGAGCGGGGGACAACAUUUGGAAACGAAUGCUAAUACCGCAUAACAACUUUAAACAUAAGUUUUAAGUUUGAAAGAUGCAAUUGCAUCACUCAAAGAUGAUCCCGCGUUGUAUUAGCUAGUUGGUGAGGUAAAGGCUCACCAAGGCGAUGAUACAUAGCCGACCUGAGAGGGUGAUGGGCCACAGUGGGACUGAGACACGGCCCAAACUCCCACGGGAGGCAGCAGUAGGGAAUCUUCGGCAAUGGACGAAAGUCGGACCGAGCAAAGCCGGGUGAGUGAAGAAGGUUUUCGGAUCGGAAAACUCGGUGGGUAGAGAAGAACGGUGGUGAGAGUGGAAAGCUCAUCAAGUGACGGUAACUACCCAGAAAGGGACGGCUAACUACGUG